ACAAGGCAUACGGCUCAGUAACGCGUAGCCCUUUAACCUAUGGACGGGAAUAACCUCGGGAAACUGAGACCUCUUGCCCGAUAGAACAUUAUGCCUGGAAUGGUUUAUGUUCCAAAUGAUUUAUCGCCGUAGGAUGGGACUGCGGCCUAUCAGUUUGUUGGUGAGGUAAUGGCCCACCAAGACUAUUACAGGUACGGGCUCUGAGAGGAGUAGCCCGGAGAUGGGUACUGAGACACGGACCCAGGCCCUAUGGGGCGCAGCAGGCGAGAAAACUUUGCAAUGUGCGAAAGCACGACAAGGUUAAUCCGAGUGGUUUCUGCUAAAGAAACCUUUUGUCAGUCCUAGAAACACUGAUGAAUAAGGGGUGGGCAAGUUCUGGUGUCAGCCGCCGCGGUAAAACCAGCACCUCAAGUGGUCAGGAUGAUUAUUGGGCCUAAAGCAUCCGUAGCCGGCUCUGUAAGUUUUCGGUUAAAUCUGUACGCUCAACGUACAGGCUGCCGGGAAUACUGCAGAGCUAGGGAGUGGGAGAGGUAGACGGUACUCGGUAGGAAGGGGUAAAAUCCUUUGAUCUAUUGAUGACCACCU
Molecule: ribosomal RNA, 585 nt
Filed under: uncultured crenarchaeote
Lineage: Archaea; Thermoproteati; Thermoproteota
Description: bacterial SSU rRNA
Rfam family: Archaeal small subunit ribosomal RNA
Source: RNAcentral